Molecule: ribosomal RNA, 387 nt
Filed under: uncultured bacterium
Lineage: Bacteria
Description: bacterial SSU rRNA
Rfam family: Bacterial small subunit ribosomal RNA
Source: RNAcentral
AUUGAACGCUGGCGGCAUGCCUUACACAUGCAAGUCGAACGGCAGCACGGGAGCAAUCCUGGUGGCGAGUGGCGAACGGGUGAGUAAUAUAUCGGAACGUGCCCGGUCGUGGGGAUAACGUAGCGAAAGCUACGCUAAUACCGCAUACGAUCUACGGAUGAAAGCGGGGGAUCGCAAGACCUCGCGCGAUUGGAGCGGCCGAUAUCAGAUUAGGUAGUUGGUGAGGUAAAGGCUCACCAAGCCGACGAUCUGUAGCUGGUCUGAGAGGACGACCAGCCACACUGGGACUGAGACACGGCCCAGACUCCUACGGGAGGCAGCAGUGGGGAAUUUUGGACAAUGGGCGGCAAGCCUGAUCCAGCAAUGCCGCGUGCAGGAUGAAGGCCU